AGCCUGCUGAUAGGAUCCUAAUCGAAUGGGAAGGAGAACCUGGAUACUGGCUGGGAAAUGCUGGCAAAGGUACAACUCACAUUCUUACAGCCAUGACUGCAAUGUAAAACAGGGGAAAAUAAAAAAUCCCUGGAAUGAGACCUGUGUCCACUGCUGCAGAAGGUGACAAAUCAGAACUCCAGCCCAGGGGCUUGCAGGGGUUGAGCUGGUCCAGUAUCUCAGCAAGGUUCUGGUGGGACACAAGCACCUGCUGCAGCAGAGCCUUGCAGAACCCAUCUUGGGAUGGGUUCUUGGAUCUUGGGCAUGGGUAGGUCCCCUCUUCCAGUGGGUUUUGUCCAGUUGGAGCUGCUUUUCUCCCACAGGCACAAAGGACAGGUGAAACCCGACUCUGCCGUGUCCCCUCCAGGCCUUUGUUCCAUUUCAAAGCCACCAGAACAAGGGUGCUGUUGUGUCUCUCCUCGCCUCCCCAUAAUCACCGGGAAAGGACAGCUGCUGCUGGGAAGACGUUAUCAGGGCCAUCGUGACAGGAUGCACAAAGGCAGGGGACAAAGCGGGACCGCGGCUCUUUCCGUCUGAGAUGUCUGAUUAGAUGCUGAAUUUGUGACUCGCAGCUACUGAGCCGAGGACUCUUUGAUGGGCGUACCUGUCUCAGGUGACACUGUGAAUUCUGCCAUUCAUACAGCACAUGGCACCUCAGGGACAGCCAGGGACUUCUGUGCUUACUGCAAACAAGUAACACAUUUUUUUGUGUGUUUAUAUCCAACAAAUGUCUAAUCUGCCUUUAUCCCGCUGGUUUUUGAUGCCAGCUGAUUCUCCCAGUCAGGAAUUCUUAAUACAAGCACUGGAGAGCAUCUGCAGAAACAAAUGUUACUCAGCUUGUAUCCUGCUUUCCUCCUCAGCUGACCUCAAAGCGGUCUCAAAAAGAAAUCAGCAUCGUUAUCUCCCUUUGACAACUGGGAAAACAGAGGUGAGAGAAAGGCCAGAAGAGGUUUCCUAAAAUCCACGUGCCACGCAGAACCAGCUCCCGCGGCAGAGCAAGAGUGUUAAUUCAGUGUUUUUCUCAUCUAGUGCUUGAUCCCUGAAAGCUCGGAGUGAUUUUAACUCU
This 1105-nucleotide long non-coding RNA is filed under the name Cyanistes caeruleus (blue tit). RNAcentral describes it as "lncRNA (ENSCCEG00000023135.1)". The record is from RNAcentral. Lineage: Eukaryota; Metazoa; Chordata; Aves; Passeriformes; Paridae.